GAUCCUGGCUCAGGACGAACGCUGGCGGCGCGCCUAACACAUGCAAGUCGAACGAGAGAGAAGGAGCUUGCUUCUUCGAUCGAGUGGCGAACGGGUGAGUAACGCGUGAGGAACCUGCCUCAAAGGAGGGGGACAACAGUUGGAAACGACUGCUAAUACCGCAUAAGCCCACGGGUCGGCAUCGACCUGAGGGAAAAGGAGCAAUCCGCUUUGAGAUGGCCUCGCGUCCGAUUAGCUAGUUGGUGG
RNAcentral lists this ribosomal RNA (246 nucleotides) under uncultured bacterium. Its description in RNAcentral is "partial 16S ribosomal RNA". It matches the Rfam family "Bacterial small subunit ribosomal RNA", at positions 15 to 255 of the family's 1533-position model. The record is from RNAcentral.